GAACAUUGAAACUGGCUAGGGAAAAUGAUUGGAUAGAAAAUAUUAUUCUAUUCAUUUAUCCCCAGCCUACAAAAUGAAAAAA
Molecule: microRNA precursor, 82 nt
Organism: Cebus imitator (Panamanian white-faced capuchin)
Lineage: Eukaryota; Metazoa; Chordata; Mammalia; Primates; Cebidae
Source: Ensembl